UGGGGAAUCUUGCACAAUGGGCGAAAGCCUGAUGCAGCGACGCCGCGUGAGCGAUGAAGGCCUUCGGGUUGUAAAGCUCUGUGGGGAGGGACGAAUACGCGUUGGCUAAUAUCCAACGUGAUGACGGUACCUCCUUAGCAAGCACCGGCUAACUCUGUGCCAGCAGCCGCGGUAAGACAGAGGGUGCAAACGUUGUUCGGAAUUACUGGGCGUAAAGCGCGUGUAGGCGGCUAUAUAAGUCGGACGUGAAAUCCCACGGCUCAACCGUGGAAGUGCGCUCGAAACUGUGUAGCUUGAGUCCUGGAGAGGAAGACGGAAUACUUGGUGUAGAGGUGAAAUUCGUAGAUAUCAGGUAGAACACCAGUGGCGAAGGCGGUCUUCUGGACAGUGACUGACGCUGAGACGCGAAAGCGUGGGGAGCAAACAGG
RNAcentral lists this ribosomal RNA (428 nucleotides) under uncultured Myxococcales bacterium. Its description in RNAcentral is "bacterial SSU rRNA". It matches the Rfam family "Bacterial small subunit ribosomal RNA", at positions 355 to 776 of the family's 1533-position model. Lineage: Bacteria; Pseudomonadati; Myxococcota; Myxococcia; Myxococcales. The record is from RNAcentral.